This 253-nucleotide ribosomal RNA is filed under the name uncultured bacterium. RNAcentral describes it as "partial 16S ribosomal RNA". It matches the Rfam family "Bacterial small subunit ribosomal RNA", at positions 524 to 776 of the family's 1533-position model. The record is from RNAcentral.
UACGUAGGGACCAAGCGUUGUUCGGAUUUAUUGGGCGUAAAGCGCUCGCAGGCGGUUUUGUAAGUCAGAUGUGAAAUCCCCGGGCUUAACCUGGGAAUGGCAUUUGGGACUGCAAGGCUGGAGUGUGGCAGAGGAGACUGGAAUUCCUGGUGUAGCAGUGAAAUGCGUAGAUAUCAGGAGGAAUACCGAUGGCGAAGGCAGGUCUCUGGGCUGACACUGACGCUCAUGCACGAAAGCGUGGGGAGCAAACAGG